RNAcentral lists this ribosomal RNA (266 nucleotides) under uncultured Eubacteriales bacterium. Its description in RNAcentral is "uncultured Clostridiales bacterium partial 16S ribosomal RNA". It matches the Rfam family "Bacterial small subunit ribosomal RNA", at positions 75 to 339 of the family's 1533-position model. Lineage: Bacteria; Bacillati; Bacillota; Clostridia; Eubacteriales. The record is from RNAcentral.
AGAGCUUGCUUUCUCAAGCGAGUGGCGGACGGGUGAGUAACGCGUGGAUAACCUGCCUCACACAGGGGGACAACAGCCGGAAACGGCUGCUAAUACCGCAUAACACAAGUAAUUCGCAUGAAUAACUUGCCAAAGAUUUCAUCGGUGUGAGAUGGAUCCGCGUCUGAUUAGCCAGUUGGCGGGGUAACGGCCCACCAAAGCGACGAUCAGUAGCCGGACUGAGAGGUUGACCGGCCACAUUGGGACUGAGAUACGGCCCAGACUCC